AUUGAACGCUGGCGGCAUGCUUUACACAUGCAAGUCGAACGGUAACAGGCCGCAAGGUGCUGACGAGUGGCGCACGGGUGAGUAAUGCAUCGGAACGUGCCCAGUCGUGGGGGAUAACUACUCGAAAGAGUAGCUAAUACCGCAUACGAUCUAUGGAUGAAAGCGGGGGACCGUAAGGCCUCGCGCGAUUGGAGCGGCCGAUGUCAGAUUAGGUAGUUGGUGGGGUAAAGGCUCACCAAGCCAACGAUCUGUAGCUGGUCUGAGAGGACGACCAGCCACACUGGGACUGAGACACGGCCCAGACUCCUACGGGAGGCAGCAGUGGGGAAGUUUGGACAAUGGGCGCAAGCCUGAUCCAGCAAUGCCGCGUGCAGGAAGAAGGCCUUCGGGUUGUAAACUGCUUUUGUACGGAACGAAACGGCUCUGGUUAAUACCCGGGGCUAAUGACGGUACCGUAAGAAUAAGCACCGGCUAACUACGUG
RNAcentral lists this ribosomal RNA (482 nucleotides) under uncultured bacterium. RNAcentral's name for it is "partial 16S ribosomal RNA". It matches the Rfam family "Bacterial small subunit ribosomal RNA", at positions 30 to 507 of the family's 1533-position model. The record is from RNAcentral.